RNAcentral lists this ribosomal RNA (498 nucleotides) under uncultured delta proteobacterium. RNAcentral describes it as "bacterial SSU rRNA". It matches the Rfam family "Bacterial small subunit ribosomal RNA", at positions 97 to 573 of the family's 1533-position model. The record is from RNAcentral. Lineage: Bacteria; Deltaproteobacteria.
GGCGCACGGGUGAGUAGCGCGUGGGUAAUCUGCCCCUCGGUCAGGAAUAACCCGCCGAAAGGCGGGCUAAUACCCGAUAACACUGACGCUCUGCGGAGUGUCUUUCAAAGAAGGCCUCUGUUUACAAGCUUUCGCCGGAGGAUGAGCCCGCGUACCAUUAGCUAGUUGGCAGGGUAAUGGCCUACCAAGGCAACGAUGGUUAGCUGGUCUGAGAGGAUGGCCAGCCACACUGGAACUGAGACACGGUCCAGACUCCUACGGGAGGCAGCAGUGAGGAAUCUUGCGCAAUGGGGGAAACCCUGACGCAGCAACGCCGCGUGAGUGAGGAAGGCUUUCGGGUCGUAAAGCUCUGUCAGAUGGGAAGAAAUGGAUGGAAGCCAAUACCUUUCAUUCUUGACGGUACCAUCAGAGGAAGCACCGGCUAACUCCGUGCCAGCAGCCGCGGUAAUACGGGGGGUGCAAGCGUUGUUCGGAAUCAUUGGGCGUAAAGCGCGCGCA